AACGAACGCUGGCGGCAUGCCUAACACAUGCAAGUCGAACGAGACCUUCGGGUCUAGUGGCGCACGGGUGCGUAACGCGUGGGAACCUGCCCUUAGGUUCGGAAUAACUCCGCGAAAGGGGUGCUAAUACCGGAUAAUGUCUUCGGACCAAAGAUUUAUCGCCUUUGGGUGGGCCCGCGUUGGAUUAGCUAGUUGGUAGGGUAAAAGCCUACCAAGGCGACGAUCCAUAGCUGGUCUGAGAGGAUGAUCAGCAACACUGGGACUGAGACACGGCCCAGACUCCUACGGGAGGCAGCAGUGGGGAAUAUUGGACAAUGGGCGAAAGCCUGAUCCAGCAAUGCCGCGUGAGUGAUGAAGGCCUUAGGGUUGUAAAGCUCUUUUACCCGGGAUGAUAAUGACAGUACCGGGAGAAUAAGCUCCGGCUAACUCCGUG
RNAcentral lists this ribosomal RNA (433 nucleotides) under uncultured bacterium. RNAcentral describes it as "partial 16S ribosomal RNA". It matches the Rfam family "Bacterial small subunit ribosomal RNA", at positions 29 to 507 of the family's 1533-position model. The record is from RNAcentral.